RNAcentral lists this ribosomal RNA (253 nucleotides) under uncultured bacterium. Its description in RNAcentral is "partial 16S ribosomal RNA". It matches the Rfam family "Bacterial small subunit ribosomal RNA", at positions 524 to 776 of the family's 1533-position model. The record is from RNAcentral.
UACGUAGGGGGCAAGCGUUGUCCGGAUUUAUUGGGCGUAAAGAGCGUGUAGGCGGCCAGGUAGGUCCGUUGUGAAAACUCGAGGCUCAACCUCGAGAUGUCGGCGGAAACCAUCUGGCUAGAGUCCGGAAGAGGAGAGUGGAAUUCCUGGUGUAGCGGUGAAAUGCGCAGAUAUCAGGAAGAACACCCGUGGCGAAGGCGGCUCUCUGGGACGGUACUGACGCUGAGACACGAAAGCGUGGGUAGCAAACAGG